Non-coding RNA from Cinara cedri, 220 nucleotides. NCBI's taxonomy places the organism in Eukaryota, Metazoa, Arthropoda, Insecta, Hemiptera, Aphididae. The record is from the annotation of a GenBank genome assembly.
UUGCAAUUUCCUGUCUCGGAUAUAAACUUUCCGAUUCGUUAGACUUAAUAAAGCUGAUCUACGCGUCUUCGUAACAAUAAUCGUUAACUAAUUUUACGCCGUAAACUAUAAUAAUUAUUAAUGUCAAUCGAGUAUAAACGAUACGCGUAUGGUAUGUUUUGUAAAUUCUAAAACAAUAUUAUAAUUUAUUUCGCAUCUACAAUUCCGUAUUACAUGCACU